Long non-coding RNA from Camellia sinensis, 545 nucleotides. RefSeq lists it as uncharacterized. NCBI's taxonomy places the organism in Eukaryota, Viridiplantae, Streptophyta, Magnoliopsida, Ericales, Theaceae. The record is from RefSeq and is a predicted model, not a curated record.
ACAAAACAAAAAAAAAAGGGGGGAGAAAAGAAAGUGGAAUAAAGGAAAUGAGUGUAAGCUAUACAUCAUCUAUGUUUAUGCUUUUGGCUGUAGCAAGAACAGCCGAGUGAGAGGGAAAGAAAACCGUGAGUGAGAGAGAGAAAAGAGAGCUCAACUUUUAAAGAAGGAAACCCAAAGUUGUGCUGGAAAUUGUAAAGGAAGAAGAAGACUCAAGGGGGAAAUCAUCAAUAAUCUUUGAAAUUAGAGCUUGAGGUGGGCAUCCGAGGCCUUAUAUCAACUUAACCCACUGUGAUCAGGCGCGCGACUAGGCUUAGAAGCAUCUACCUGGAAUCUGUUUUUGUCAGCCAACCUAUGUGCCUCCCGUGGAGGUUCCGGAUAUGUCAAGUGACUAUGGCUAUGUGAUGCAAAGGUUAGGUUUUGUUUUCUUGAUUGGUUAGACAAGUCUUGUGUAUUUUGUAAAUAGGGCUAAGUCCCUUUUUGUCUAAUUUGUGUAUAUAUAUAAUGACAUAAGGAUGAUGUGUAUAUAUGCAUAUAAAGUUUUAAAA